Molecule: ribosomal RNA, 465 nt
Filed under: uncultured bacterium
Lineage: Bacteria
Description: partial 16S ribosomal RNA
Rfam family: Bacterial small subunit ribosomal RNA
Source: RNAcentral
CUACGGGGGGCUGCAGUGAGGAAUUUUGCGCAAUGGGGGAAACCCUGACGCAGCAACGCCGCGUGAGUGAAGAAGGCUUUCGGGUCGUAAAGCUCUGUCAGAUGGGAAAAAAUCUUUUUGGUUAAUAGCCGUAAAGCCUGAUGGUACCAUCAGAGGAAGCACCGGCUAACUCCGUGCCAGCAGCCGCGGUAAUACGGAGUAGUGCAAGCGUUGUUCGGAAUUACUGGGCGUAAAGAGCGUGUAGGCGGUAUAGUAAGUCAGAUGUGAAAGCCCUGGGCUCAACCCAGGAAGUGCAUUUGAUACUGCUAUUCUUGAGUAUGGGAGAGGAGAGUGGAAUUCCCAGUGUAGAGGUGAAAUUCGUAGAUAUUGGGAGGAACACCCGUGGCGAAGGCGACUCUCUGGACCAAUACUGACGCUGAGACGCGAAAGCGUGGGGAGCAAACAGGAUUAGAUACCCCGGUAGUC